CAGAGGGCAGAGAGAAGCACAAAGUGAGGACACAAGAAAAGCAGCUCUGCACCCAAACACUCUGCAGUCAAGACACCUCCUGGCCCACAUUGCAGGGCCCAGCUCAAAGCCCAGUAGCCUCCUCAGCCAAGUCCAAGCCUCUCUCUGUCUGCACAAGACCUUCUCUCCCCUGCCCUCUCCCAGCACAAGCAGGUCCAAGCCCUGCACUACGACAGCCCCUCUCAGCUGAGACCUCCAGCCAGGCAAGAGCUGCUCUCUGGAAGCAGCAGAACAGGCUUUGCACUCACCUGAUUCCUGAGGAGGAGGAGGUGAGAGAAGUG
This is a long non-coding RNA of Serinus canaria (Common canary), 320 nucleotides long. RefSeq lists it as uncharacterized. The record is from RefSeq and is a predicted model, not a curated record. NCBI's taxonomy places the organism in Eukaryota, Metazoa, Chordata, Aves, Passeriformes, Fringillidae. The transcript is spliced from 2 exons.